UUUGGCAUUCCGUAUGGUGAUGAGCUGCUGUGCAAUGACGGACAACACCUCAAUAUCGAUUCGAUUAAACUCAUCAAAGCAGCACCAGGCACCAGACUGAGCCAGCCCACUGAAGAAACGCCCCAUCAUCUGAAGAAAGACGCAUUUGGAUGAAUUGAAUUUUUCAAGUCCAUCAGAACAAUUGAAGACCACACACUGAAUGGCCAAAGCUUUAGCCAAAUCCUUUGUGGUCUCGGUCUUUCCCGUCCCUGCAGGCCCGGCUGGAGCACCCCCCAGGUCCAAUUGGAGAGCUCCCAUCAGACAUAAGUAGCAACGGUCCUGCAUUUUGGCAGGCAUGCAGUUGUGAUUCAGAAUGCCAGAGGCAGCAUCAACAACACUACCUAGGCUCUUUCCAUAUGGACGCCAAAUGUAUGCCCUUCUAUGGUGAAGUGGAGGCAUGGUGAGGACCUGACGUGCACAGACUUCUACUCUCAGUGAGCUCCAUCA
Molecule: non-coding RNA, 486 nt
Organism: Doryrhamphus excisus (bluestripe pipefish)
Lineage: Eukaryota; Metazoa; Chordata; Actinopteri; Syngnathiformes; Syngnathidae
Source: RefSeq, a predicted model, not a curated record